RNAcentral lists this ribosomal RNA (852 nucleotides) under Colletotrichum truncatum. Its description in RNAcentral is "SSU rRNA". It matches the Rfam family "Eukaryotic small subunit ribosomal RNA", at positions 53 to 916 of the family's 1831-position model. The record is from RNAcentral. Lineage: Eukaryota; Fungi; Ascomycota; Sordariomycetes; Glomerellales; Glomerellaceae.
GACCUGCGUUAGUUAGCAAUUAUACAGCGAAACUGCGAAUGGCUCAUUAUAUAAGUUAUCGUUUAUUUGAUAGUACCUUACUACUUGGAUAACCGUGGUAAUUCUAGAGCUAAUACAUGCUAAAAAUCCCGACUUCGGAAGGGAUGUAUUUAUUAGAUUAAAAACCAAUGCCCUUCGGGGCUCACUGGUGAUUCAUAAUAACUUCUCGAAUCGCAUGGCCUUGCGCCGGCGAUGGUUCAUUCAAAUUUCUUCCCUAUCAACUUUCGAUGCUAGAGUAGUGUUCUAGCAUGGUUACAACGGGUAACGGAGGGUUAGGGCUCGACCCCGGAGAAGGAGCCUGAGAAACGGCUACUACAUCCAAGGAAGGCAGCAGGCGCGCAAAUUACCCAAUCCCGACACGGGGAGGUAGUGACGAUAAAUACUGAUACAGGGCUCUUUUGGGUCUUGUAAUUGGAAUGAGUACAAUUUAAAUCCCUUAACGAGGAACAAUUGGAGGGCAAGUCUGGUGCCAGCAGCCGCGGUAAUUCCAGCUCCAAUAGCGUAUAUUAAAGUUGUUGUGGUUAAAAAGCUCGUAGUAGAACCUUGGGCCUGGCUGACCGGUCCGCCUCACCGCGUGUACUGGUCCGGCCGGGCCCCCACCAUAGUCUAACCGCAUGCCCUUCACUGGGUGUGUUGGCGAAACUAUAUUUUUACUUUGAAAAAAUUAGAGUGCUCCAGGCAGGCCUAUGCUCGAAUACAUUAGCAUGGAAUAAUAGAAUAGGACGUGUGGUUCUAUUUUGUUGGUUUCUAGGACCGCCGUAAUGAUUAAUAGGGACAGUCGGGGGCAUCAGUAUUCAAUUGUCGAAGGUGAAA